Long non-coding RNA from Lytechinus pictus (painted urchin), 1585 nucleotides. RefSeq lists it as uncharacterized. The record is from RefSeq and is a predicted model, not a curated record. Lineage: Eukaryota; Metazoa; Echinodermata; Echinoidea; Temnopleuroida; Toxopneustidae. The transcript has 5 exons.
GGCGGGGCAAUCACACAAUCGCAUGUGGCGCGCGGUGGCCAGUACGGUCUGGGCGGAAAAUGUGCCAGGGUGUUUGGAAAUAAGAAUUUUGCAAGGAACUCCUACCUCCUCACUGACCAAAGCACUGGAUGAAAUGGACCAGGACAUGGGAAUGUGGUCUGCUGCCCUCUGUGGUGACCUAUCAAGAGUUCAGAAGCUAUAAUGUCAUCUGGAUGCAGUGUUAAUAGUGUGGAUAAAUUAGGCUACACUACUCUGAUUGUAGAUGGCAAGUGCUUGAUAUGUAACAAACGAUCAAGACCAAAUUCAGAAGCAAGCUCAAAAUAGGCCUACAUAUGCUACCUUGCUACCUUCAUCAUAGAGCUUGGAAAAUGUGACUGCUAAUUGGAUUAGUAUGAGGAAUUGAGAUGAUCAUUGUAUUAUCUGCAAGGCUGCGGAACAAGACCAUGAACAAUUUUGCAAGGUGCUUCUCAAAGCUCAACCAAGCAUUAACACUGCGCCUCAAAGACCACAGAGGACGGACACCUCUAGACUGCAUGAAGAAGGACAGUGAACCUGGACAGACAGUCCAUCCUUCAUGAUGAUCUAAAAUGUAUUUCAGGUUACUUGUGUAGAUAGAAUAUUGUUACAUUCGAUACAGAGAUGGCAUUUUAUCAUUGUUAUCAUUAUUAUAUUCACCUUUGGUUUUGUUGAUUUCACUGAUUAAUCGACGUGACUAUUGGUGAUGCAAUUAGAGUUGUCUCUUGGUACUUGUCUGCUUUUACUUUGGUGUCAUCCCACAUGGUUCAAUCCUAGUUCGCCUACAUCCAGUUCAUCUACUAGCCAUUUAGUAGACUAUAUACCAUUUUGUUUAUUUUUCUAGUUAGGCUGCAUCUGUUUUGUCUAAUGAUAUCUAUUUGGGCUAUAACCACUUAGUCUAUGUGGUAAAUUCAAUUGCUUAUGAACCAAAUUUUCAUUUGACAAAGUGCAAACUAAUAGAUUGAAUCAGGAAUCAGAAUGGAGUCAAAGUCCAAUGUCACUUUGCUAAAAUACUAUGUGUGCCCACUGGUGCGUGGUCGAGCUUCACUCCCUGAAGUAGGGGACGGAUUAACAUUGACGUUAGAAUCCUUAUCUUUGACUUGGCUUUGCAUAAAUUGAAAGUCCCCCAAUUUUGCAAGUCUUUGUUCACUGUCAUUAUGGUGCACAUAAGCGUCAUCUACUGUAAUGUCGAUCAGGGGAUUACAAAAUAAAAUAAUUGCACAAAGUAUAAUUUUGGCAUUUAACUUAAUUGACAGACUAAAUGAUGAUUGGACCAAAAUGUCCAAUUGAUCGUCUGCCAGAAUGCCGCAUUGACGGUUACCAAGUAUUUAAUCAAAUCAAAUCAAAUCAUUUAUUUCCACAAUAAUAUAAAAACAUUACAAAUAUGUACAAAAUAGGAAACAAGCAUAAUUGAAAAGGAAAGGAAAGUGAACCGAGUUGUUCAAAAAUAAUACAAAGAAAUGUACAUUACUGUGGGGAAGCCAAAGAAGGCAGAUUAAGUCUUAAAAUCAGGCACCCAACAUAAAAUAAUAAUUUUUAAAGGGAAGGUUCACCCAAAAAAGUUUAUUGU